RNAcentral lists this ribosomal RNA (468 nucleotides) under uncultured bacterium. RNAcentral describes it as "partial 16S ribosomal RNA". It matches the Rfam family "Bacterial small subunit ribosomal RNA", at positions 28 to 507 of the family's 1533-position model. The record is from RNAcentral.
GACGAACGCUGGCGGCGUGCUUAACACAUGCAAGUCGAACGGAAAGGCCCUGCUUUUGUGGGGUGCUCGAGUGGCGAACGGGUGAGUAACACGUGAGUAACCUGCCCUUGACUUUGGGAUAACUUCAGGAAACUGGGGCUAAUACCGGAUAGGAGCUCCUGCUGCAUGGUGGGGGUUGGAAAGUUUCGGCGGUUGGGGAUGGACUCGCGGCUUAUCAGCUUGUUGGUGGGGUAGUGGCUUACCAAGGCUUUGACGGGUAGCCGGCCUGAGAGGGUGACCGGCCACAUGGGGACUGAGGUACGGCCCAGACUCCUACGGGAGGCAGCAGUGGGGAAUAUUGCACAAUGGUCGGAAGCCUGAUGCAGCAACGCCGCGUGCGGGAUGACGGCCUUCGGGUUGUAAACCGCUUUCGCCUGUGACGAAGCGUGAGUGACGGUAAUGGGUAAAGAAGCACCGGCUAACUACGUG